GAACUAAGGACUGUGGGCUUGGAUUCGGUACUGGCAUGCUUCCAUGUAAUUCCGUGUUAUAACGGGGUUGCGGGAAGUAUGACCGGUAUCCUUGGCAUCUUUCCCCGUGGAUUUCAUCUAACGGGUGCUCAGGUGUGGGUCCUUGCCUAUAGUCCGCUCCUUGCCAACGGUUCGCCGUUGGUAAAGGCCUUAUGGUACAACUGUAAACAAAUCAGAGUGCUCAAAGCAGGCAUUGUUAAUGGGGAUUUAUCCUCGGAUUUGCUUGAAUGAUUUAGCAUGGGAUUGUCUUGGAGCCGUGAAUAGUGCCUAUUCGUUCUACGGGUAGGUUACUGUUCACUGGCGCUUGUAAUGUGAAGCAGGGAGAGGGCUCAAGUACUAUGGUGCUAGAGGUGAAAUUUAGAUACCAACAUAUGACUUUCUGAUGCGAAAGCUGUUAUUGUCCAAUACACUUCUUUCGAUCAGGGACGAAAGUUAGGGGAUCGAAGAUGAUUAGAUACCGUCGUAGUCCUAACUAUAAACGAUACCAACAAGAGAUUGGU
Molecule: ribosomal RNA, 539 nt
Filed under: Allovahlkampfia sp. strain SO/1P
Lineage: Eukaryota; Heterolobosea; Eutetramitea; Acrasida; Acrasidae
Description: bacterial SSU rRNA
Rfam family: Eukaryotic small subunit ribosomal RNA
Source: RNAcentral